Molecule: ribosomal RNA, 468 nt
Filed under: uncultured bacterium
Lineage: Bacteria
Description: partial 16S ribosomal RNA
Rfam family: Bacterial small subunit ribosomal RNA
Source: RNAcentral
GACGAACGCUGGCGGCGUGCUUAACACAUGCAAGUCGAACGGAAAGGCCCUGCUUUUGUGGGGUGCUCGAGUGGCGAACGGGUGAGUAACACGUGAGUAACCUGCCCUUGACUUUGGGAUAACUUCAGGAAACUGGGGCUAAUACCGGAUAGGAGCUCCUGCUGCAUGGUGGGGGUUGGAAAGUUUCGGCGGUCGGGGAUGGACUCGCGGCUUAUCGGCUUGUUGGUGGGGUAGUGGCUUACCAAGGCUUUGACGGGUAGCCGGCCUGAGAGGGUGACCGGCCACAUUGGGACUGAGAUACGGCCCAGACUCCUACGGGAGGCAGCAGUGGGGAAUAUUGCACAAUGGGCGGAAGCCUGAUGCAGCAACGCCGCGUGCGGGAUGACGGCCUUCGGGUUGUAAACCGCUUUCGCCUGUGACGAAGCGUGAGUGACGGUAAUGGGUAAAGAAGCACCGGCUAACUACGUG